GAGAGAGAAAAAGAGAGAGAGAGUUAUUGAGUGCACCUAGUGCACAGGUGCGCAUGGAUGAUUGUUUUCUUUAUGGGUUUAUAGAAGACGAGAGAAGGGUAUAAGAGAUUCAGAAAGAGGGCUCGGAUUGUAGCUACUCUGUGCAGAAGAGGAGUCAGGUGUAAUCUUCUCUUAUUUAAUUGAAUCUUAUUUUACCCGCAUAUUUUUCUCUUUUAUGAUUGUAUCAGCUUUUGCUGAGGAAACGGGUUUAUGGUAAAAAUUCGAUUUGAUGCUUCCGUUGCGGAAUCCCAACAAUCGAUAUCGGAUCCACAGCAGUCGGUAUUGGAGCGGGUUGCGGAUUCACGAGAUCCGGUACCGGGGCGAAUACCGGAUUCCCAACAAUUGGUAUCAGAGCCGAAGGUUACCGAUCUGUGGGAGAGAUCGACGGAGAUGGCCACAAAAUUCGAAAUCGAGAAGUUCAACGGCAAGAACAAUUUCGGAUUGUGGCAGACUAAAGUACAGGCAAUCCUCGUACAGCAAGAGUUAGACGAGACGUUGAACAGGGAGGAGGCGAAGCCGGCGGAGGUCACGGAUGCGGCAUGGACGAAGAUGGAGUGGAAGGCGUUGAGUACGCUUCAUCUAUUAUUAGCAGAUGAGGUUCUUUACAACGUAGCCAGCGAGACAACGCCGGCGAAGUUGUGGAAGAAAUUGGAAGAUCUGUACAUGACCAAGUUCUUGACGAACAGAUUGUAUCUGAAGCAGCGACUGUUUACGCUGCGGAUGCAAGAAGCGGCGAACCUACACGAGCAUCUAAACGAGUUCAACAAGGUGGUGGCACAGUUGACUAGCAUCGGAGUCAAUCUGGAUGACGAAGACAAGGCGUUGAUCCUACUAUCUUCGCUACCGAUGACAUAUGAGCAUCUGGUGACCACAUUGCUUUAUGGCAAGGAGUCCAUAAGCGUGGAGGCGGUCACGGCGGCGCUUCUCUCGAACGAGAUGCGGAAGAUGACUCAGGAGUCCGGCACGCAAAGUUAGGAUGUAGAACUGGUGGUGACUGCGAAGAAGGAGGCGAGAAUAUCGGCGACUGGAUAUAAACAGAAGAAACAGCUAUCUGAGGUAGAACGCUUUUACUGUCAUAGGAAGGGGCAUAUCAAGCGCAAUUAUUGAAAACUUCAGGAUGAUCUGAAGGAGUUAAAGCGACAGAAGGAGCAAACUGUCGUGAACCAGGACGAGACGGUAUCAGCGACGGCGCAGACAGCAGAGUCGGAGAUGAUCGAUUCUGAUGUGCUGUAUGCGGUGACCGGAGGUGCGAAAAUUUCGGACGAUGUGUGGGUACUCGAUUCGGCGUGUUCUUUUCACGUAUGCCUAGAGAAUGAGUCUUUUGCCACCUAUAAGGCGACCAAAGGUGGAAAGGCGCUAAUGGGGAACAAGACAGUGUGCAAAGUAUUGGGAGUCAGCAUGGUGAAAAUCCGAAUGCACGAUGGGGUCGUGAGGAUGCUGACAGGUGUGCGGCACGUUCCUGAAUUGAAACGGAAUUUGAUCUCGUUAGGCGCAUUGGACUCGAAGGGUUGCGAUAUUUUAGCUUCAGGUGGAGCUAUGAGGGUCCGAAAACGAGAUCGGGUCGUAUGCGAGGCGAACAAGCGUGGGAACUUAUACGUUCUGAACGGGAGCACAGCCAGAACGAGAGCGAAGACGGUUUGGGUUCCAAAAGUUCGCGGAUAUGCAAUUGCUCGAGACGGAGCGACGGAUGCGGCGACAUCUCGAGCGAAGGAGACAAGCUCAAAGUGGAGCUUGCAUGGUGAGCUCGACGUAGCGGUUGAAAAUUACAAAUCAAACCAAGGUGGAGAAUGUUAGGAUUUGGUUAGAUUUAUAGUUAAAUCCUAUUUGGAUAAGAAUUAAUAUUUAAAUCUGUUUGAGAUAAAUUAAGAUUUAAAUAUUAAUUAGAGGAUAAACCUAACUAGAUUAGUAUUAAUAUUUAAAUCUAUUAGAGAUUGAUUAAGAUAGAUUUAAAUAUUAAUUAAAGUAUGAAUCCUAAAUAUAUUAGGAUUGGGUACAUUCUUGAUAGAGCAUUAUAUAUAAUGCAGUAGAGUCUCUUUUUGGGGUGAGUACAGUUGAGGGCCUUGCAGGUGCCGUACCAGAGAGAGAAAAAGAGAGAGAGAGUUAUUGAGUGCACCUAGUGCACAGGUGCGCGUGGAUGAUUGUCUUCUUUAUGGGUUUAUAGAAGACGAGAGAAGGGUAGAAGAGAUUCAGAAAGAGGGCUCGGAUUGUAGCUACUCUGUGCAGAAGAGGAGUCAGAUGUAAUCUUCUCUUAUUUAAUUGAAUCUUAUUUUACCCGCAUAUUUUUCUCUUUUAUGAUUGUAUCAGCUUUUGCUGAGAAAACGGGUUUAUGGUAAAAAUCCGAUUUGAUGCUUCCGUUG
Molecule: long non-coding RNA, 2396 nt
Filed under: Ananas comosus (pineapple)
Lineage: Eukaryota; Viridiplantae; Streptophyta; Magnoliopsida; Poales; Bromeliaceae
Description: long non-coding RNA (ACOM_LNC016118)
Source: RNAcentral